Molecule: long non-coding RNA, 199 nt
Filed under: Elaeis guineensis (African oil palm)
Lineage: Eukaryota; Viridiplantae; Streptophyta; Magnoliopsida; Arecales; Arecaceae
Description: long non-coding RNA (EGUI_LNC066585)
Source: RNAcentral
CUUUAGGGAGUUUGUUUGAUUGUGUACAAUACACUAACAGGCUGUGACUAUUUAUAAAUAUCAUUUUUCAGUUAUCCACAUGAUUUUGAUAUUAUUCAUAAUGAUAUCAUAAAAAUUAUUAGAUAAUAGUGAUAAUCACUAAAAUGAUAUUGUUAGAAUUGAAAAUAGACUUGAGAAUUUCUAAAACCCAGAUUGGAAC